GUUAUUCAAUAUUUAUGUUGGUGAUUACACAAUCUGACUUAGACGCUACGAUUAUCAAUGGGAAAAUGUUCCAAUUGGACAUAUCUAGAAUUGUACUAUAGUGUUAUUGAUGGGAAAUUGCUAAGUGCUAACAACCACAUGCCCCUAUACCUACAAAGGAGUUGUUUUAUUGAAAGGGGCAAGUAAUUACUACUCACAUGGCCAACCCUCAAGAUUGUCCUCACAAGCUACAUUCAAUUUCUCAAAGGC
RNAcentral lists this long non-coding RNA (249 nucleotides) under Solanum tuberosum (potato). RNAcentral describes it as "long non-coding RNA (STUB_LNC006988)". The record is from RNAcentral. Lineage: Eukaryota; Viridiplantae; Streptophyta; Magnoliopsida; Solanales; Solanaceae.